RNAcentral lists this long non-coding RNA (7992 nucleotides) under Brassica rapa (field mustard). RNAcentral describes it as "long non-coding RNA (BRAP_LNC001333)". Lineage: Eukaryota; Viridiplantae; Streptophyta; Magnoliopsida; Brassicales; Brassicaceae. The record is from RNAcentral.
CAUGUUUAGCUUCUCCAAGCUUUGACAAUCUUUGAUAGAUGAAGGGAUGUGGCCUGAGAAGUUGUUACUAGAGAGAUCUAGACUCACAAGGCUUUCGAGGUAACUUAUAUCUUGAGGAAUUGGACCAGAAAAUAGGUUGCUAGAUAGAUUCAAGACGGCACUCAAGCUAGGUAGGUUAAGAACUCCAUUUGGUAUGCUUCCAUUUAGCAUAUUGCUGGAUAGAUCCAUGGAUAACAUAUUCUUGAAGUUUUCAAAUGAUGGUGGGAUCCUACCUUGUAUUUUGUUGUGCGAUAGAUUGAUCUCAUUUAACCCGCCAAGAUCACCAAUAGAAUCUGGAAUUCUUCCAGUAAGCUUAUUUCUUGCUAGUUCUAACUCUUGCAAAUCUUUCAGUUUCCCAAUAUCUUGAGGGAUUUCACCAGUAAGUGAAUUGUCACUUAUGUUAAGCAGACUCAAUCCUGUUAGAUAGCCGAUGGACUCCGGAAUUUUUCCGCUGAAGCGGUUUCCUCCCAUUAAAAGUGUAGAAAGAUGCUUGGAAAGAUUACCAAUAGAUACCGGAAUAACACCCUCCAAGAGAUUUCCAUUAAAUCCCAGGAAGUCAAGCUGGGAACUAUUACUCAAAGACUUGAUGAAACUAUCAAGAUCUUGAUCUCUACCCUUAACUAAAUUGAAUCCAAUGUUGUACAUUUCUAGGAAUGGGAGAUUGCCUAAUCCUGAUGUUAUGGUCCCUUCUAAAUGGUUGAACGCAGCACGGAUCACCUUAAUUUUAGUGAGGUUGUAUAGAGAAGCUGGAAUCUCUCCGGUGAACUUGUUGAAACACAUGUUGAAAACCAAGAGUUUUGGAAGUAUGUCUCCAAUGUUGCUAGGAAAUUGACCGCAUAAGCUGUUUGAAGCAAGGGCUAACGAUUCUAGUGACGAGAUGUUGUAAAUAGAUGGAGGGAUUUCUCCGGUGAGGUUGUUUAUGGUGGCAUCAAGGACUUGUAGCCUUUGGAGACGACCCAACUCGAAAGGAACUGGACCACUAAGAAAGUUUGUGCCUAGGCUUAAAAUGGUGAGAGAUGAUAUGUUUGAAAGAUAUGGUGGAAUUGGUCCAUGUAACCGAUUUUUUCCCAAGUUUAAAAUAUUUAGGUUCUUGAGAUCACCAAGUUUUUUUGGAACGAGACCCGUGAUCUUGUUUGAGGUUAGAUCAAGAACUCGUAGCUCUAUCAACUUGCUUAGGUUGGAAGGUAAGGAUCCUUCUAAGCUGUUAGAGCUUAAAUUAAGAACCCUUAGACGAAAAAGAUUUUUGAUCUCUUUUGGAAUUAAACCUCCAAGUUGGUUAUUUUGAAGUUGAAGCGAUGUGAGAAAAGAGAUAUUACCAAUACUUGGGCUUAUGGAACCAGUGAGACGAUGACCAGAGAGGUUGAUAGAAAUCACUCUCUUGUUACGUGUAUUGCAUGUCACGCCAGUCCAAUUACAUGGAGAUGUGUUUUGGUCCCAAGAGAAAGAAACUGAGUGUGGGUUUUGGCUUAUUUGGGACCUGAACGAGAGCAAAGCUUCUCUGUCAAUAUUUAACGAAAAAGAAGUUGUCCCACUAAUGGAAAAUGUUGAAAGGGAAAACAAUACAAGAAGAAGAAAUAAUGACCGAAGAGUAAAAUUGGGUAGAAGUUGAUGGACAUUCAAACCCAUUUUUAUAAUCUCUCUUAUUGAUUUUCUCUCUUUGGAAUAUGAAAAUGAAUUUACAGAAGUUUGAUGAUUUAUAGUGAUUUAUUGGACUAAGUGUUUGGGUAUACAUUUGGAUUGGACUUUUCUAGCAUGGAAAGAAACGCACGUAAUAAUCAACGCAAAAGUCUACGAACUUGACAAUCUAUCAUUGUGUGGGAGUGGCCUACAUUAAACUUUGUGGUUAAAGCAGACUCUUGACCUCAUCAACUUGAACUAAACGUACCGUUAUCCAUCUCUAUCAGUUUGUUGGGCGGUGAAUGCACAAAACGUAUUAAGUCACUAGUCGACAAUUCUCUAGUUAUUGUUUAACAAAAAAUAGUAAAUUUAUUCUUACAAUUGGAGAUCAAUCAUAAUCAAGAGUGAUCUUAGUAUAUAUCUAUUUAUGGAUACUCAAUAUAUGUAUAUUUACUAUUCUUGUGAUGCCCUAGCUCUCUCUCUUGUAUAUAAAGAGACUAUGUAUAAUAAGGGCGGACGCAGGAUUGUUUUUGGUGUGGGGCACUAACCAAUAAGACUAUGUAUAUAUCGACAUUUUAUGUUAAUUUACAUAUAUUUUUAUAAAGCAAACAUUUGAACAUAAUUAGCCAUCUUCUCUAUUAAAAGAGAAGUACCAUUUUUAUCUACUAUAAAAAAGUCAUACUAGCCUUAUUAGGUACAUUUCAUUAAUUACAUUUAUUUAAUUAUUUAUAUUAAUCUAUUAAAUCUAUAAAGAUAUUAAUAACAAAUCAAUUUUAACUGUAAAUUUAAAUUUUAUUUUUAGUUAUAACAAAAUGUUCAGAAAAAAUCUAACAAAAUCUUUCUAAAAAUUUUAAAUAUUUUAUUUAAAUUAAUACCAUUGAUUAAUUUUGUAAUUAAUAAUAUAUACCAUUAUACAUUAAUUUAAAUAAGAUUUUAUUAUAAAACAAAAUAAAAUAAAUAAAAUAAAAGUGUAUGCUAUUUUUCAAAUUUUAUAAUUAUAUUCUAUAUCUUUUUUUAUUAAAAGAAAUACAAUAAAAAUUCAUACUAGGUCUAUUUCAUCAAUUACAUCUAUUUGAUUAUUUAAGUUAAUCUAUUUAAUACAUAAUAUUUCUAAAAAAUGUUAUAAAUUAUAUAGAUAUCAAUAAAUAAAUUUUAACUGUAAAUUUAAAUUUUAUUUUUACUUAUAACAAAAUAUGUUGGAAAAAAUCUAACAAAAUCUUAAUAAAAUUUUAAAAUAUUUUUAAAUUAAUGCACCGAUUGAUUUCAUAAUUAAUAAUAUAGUAUUAUUAUAAUCUAUUUACUUAUAAAAUCCCACAAUAUACUAAAAUAGAUAACAUAGAAAUAUAAAUUAUGCUAAUAAAAUAUCAGUUCUAUAAUAUAACUAAAUAAAAUUUUAAACUGUAUUGUAUUCAGUCUGUAAAAAUUAGAAAAAAAUGAAGGAGAUUCUUAAUUUUUUUAUUUCAUACUAUGAAUUUAUUUUACCAAACUCAAAAAUAUAUUAAUAUAUAAUAACAAUUAAUAAUUAAGUAAAAUGUAUAAAACAAAUCAUCUAAUAUAUUAAAACAGAAGUCACAACUUCACUUCAUGUGUGAUUUUUUGAAAUGGACCAUUCCUAGAAAAUUAUAUUUCAUUUUUAUCUUAAUAACAUUUAUCAAUUAUUAAUGAAUCAAUAAUAUAUCAGUUUUUACCUCAUAACAACUCUAUCCUAUAAACCGGUUCGUUUUGUGUAACAGAUUGACGCCAGUAACAAUCUCCUAAUAUAUACUACAUACAAAUUAAAUGAUACAAGUAUCACAUUAAAGAAAUAAAAAAUCUGUCAUCAUGAGUGAACUCCUAACGGAUACCAAGACUUUGUAACAUAUAUGAAAUUUGUAACAUUGUCGAGCUCUCUAAUGAUCCAUAGUUUAUCAUCUUGAAAAAUUUCUUAUAACAGCAAUAUUGAAUCACCUAAUAAAUACAUUCAAAACUAUUCUUAAUGAAUCACUUUAAAGAUUUUAAAAUCUGCCAUUAUUAAACCCAUAGCUGGAGCAACAUGAUAAAAUCGGUGCUACUGGUAUAUAUAUUGAUUUCUUUUAUUUAAUGGAUUCAAAUUUCAAAAUAUAAUACAUAUGAAAUAAAACUAUUCCAUCCCUACAUACUUGCUAUACUAUAGAUUUUGUAACCGUGGUGAGUAACAAAAGAUCUUUACUUUGAUUUUAUAUUUAUCAUAAUUUAUAUGAAUAACAAUUAGAGAUCAUAAUAAUGAUAUAGCAUCAAAUAUUUGUUAUAAAUAUUGCUAACAUGUUAGAUAAUAUAAUAUGUUAAAAUGUUUUACGAAUACCAGCCCAGUUCACAAAUUUUGUUAUCAAAAAAAUAUGCCACAUUUAUUAAAAAAAAAUAAUUAUACAUAUUCCCUUUUAUUUUUGAAAACUAAAUCUGAUUUUUCUACACUUUUUACCGAUUUUUUCAGUCAAAUAUUUAGCAUACAGGAUUUAUUAACAAUAUAUGAAAAUUAUAUAUUUAAAUAGAAAUAAAAAAAUUAAAAUAUAUUAUUACAAAAAUAGGUUCUACUAAUAUUUUUAAAAAUCAUAUAUAAUAAAAAAAUAUUUCAAUAAAAUUAACAACAUUUUUCAUAUAAAUUUAAACUUUAUAAUAAAACUCGCACGGUCGUGCGGGUCGAAACCUAGUUAUACAUUAAUAAUAUUGAAUAAGAAACAUAACCAAUAACAUUAUAGAUUUACACAAUAUAUAACACUAAAAUGUAAAUUAUAUCUUUGAAAGUUUUGCGAUGGUAUAUGUUAUAUAUUUAUAAAAUAAAAAUUCAUCCAGCACGGAUGUGCGGGUGAAAAAUCUAGUAAUAUUUAUUUUAAUAGUUUGUUGAAUUGAUAAAAUGAAAAUUACAACAUUUCUUUGAUUUUUACUGAGCUAUAAUGAAUUGUCCAGAAAUAAUUGAUUAAAUUCCAGCUACAAUAAAUAUUAAUUAAAGUAAAUUCACCUUUGUAUUCCGAAAAGAAAAAGCUCCAUGAUACGUCCGUCAUAGUUUUAUGGUCGAACUCAAUUGAAGUGGUGAUUACUGAAAAGUAAUUGAUUCAACAAAAGAAACAUUAAUUAAGCAACAAAUAUUAAGGAGUAAAAAAUAGGUAAAACCUUUUCUGUCAUGCCAAAACCUGAUGCUUCCAUUUGUCCCCUUUGACUGACUGAAAAUUCACUGCGUGUGAGUGUAGUCAUGGACUUUCCACGAGAAUUUUUUUGAUUAUGCUCCUUCACAUCUCUCAAAACUAUUGCUUCAAGAGUCUGUAAAUCAUUAGAUUGAGAAAGUUUCUAAGCUAUAUUGUAAUAGUCAAAAAUAGAAUCUCUUCAAAAUAAAUGUACCCGUAUCUUGGCAUAAUUCCACUGUAUCGAUCUAAAAUCUUGUCGAUAAUGGAUUUCUAGAUAUUAAUCCAUGUGAUAAAUAAUAAAAGCUUUGAAUUGCUGCAAAAAAAAUAUCAUGAACCCUAACCGUAGAUAUGAAAAUGGAUAAUGGAGAUGAUAGAAAUAAGGAAAAAGAAAGCACAAAGUAAAUCAUUAGAUCAGAAUUUAUAUAGGAAAAAUAAACAGUUUGAAGUCAUGAUCACUUAACUAUAAACGUGGAUGUGAUAUUUUGAGAAAAAAUAGGAUAAAGUUGCUGAAAAUUAGGGGUUGAUGAGAAAUUUAUUUUAAUCAAUUUUUUUUAAAACAUUUUCCACAUGUCAAAUUCUGAUUUGUUAGGUGACUUGUGAUUUAGUAUAUAAGGGAUAAGAAUAUGUGUAAUAUAGUCUAGUUAUGUAUUUAACUAUAAAAUUUAACUUUAAAAUAUAGAAAAUGUAUAUGCAAUUGAUUGUGUAGCGUUUGAAAAGACUUGGGAAGAUGUUCUUACUGGCUGAAUUUAUUGUUUAUAUGCAAUUGAGUAUGUAGUUGGCAUGUGCCUUGUAUAUGUUGCCAUUCAUAGGAGGUUUGGAAAGGAUUGACGCUGAAGCUGCUAUCUACGCGCUAUACCUACCAGUGGAACCAACUUAUACAACUGCUGGUCGAUCAAAACAGAGACAAAACAGAGUUUUACAUCAUCAGAUAUGUGUUCCAAACAACUAUGUAUGAUAUAUGGAGGGAACACAACCAACAUAAAAAUGGAGAAAGACCAAUGUCACCGAGUCAGCUAAUCCAGAUGGUGGACAAGAUCUCUCUUCCAUCCGUGUCCAGGCGCUCACGGGUGGUUUAGCUUUAUGGUUUACCACGAGAUAGCUUCUUGAAGCUUAUGUCUAAUUUUAUAAAAAAAUAUAUAACACAAAAUGUCAAAACAAUUUUUUUUUGGUUUGGAUUAAUAUAACAUUCUUUCAAAAAAAAAAUCACACAACAACCUGAUUUAUAGACAUUAGUUGAGACAACGGGGUUUUUGAAGUUUGCCACAAUACUACUGCUAUUCAACAUCCUUAUUAUCAGAAAAUUACAAGCAACAAGUUCAUACUACAGAAUGAACCUUAUUAAACAAAAAUUGUAACUAAAGAGAUAAGAUAAACAUAUAUUCCCGACAAAAGAAAACUUAUAUAUUCACUUAAAAUAACUAAUAGGAAAAUAUAAUCAAUUAGUUUCCCUUGAUAAGCAUGCCCUUGGCCUCUUUCAACAAACGUAGCACGUUUCUCAUUUUCAUCCGUUCGCUAGCUGCAUACGCAGUACAAGCCAAGCCAACUUCAAUAGUUUUCUUAAGGCAAUCAAGUUUUGCAUGAAGUUGUGCACCAGAAACAUCGAUGAGUCCCUUAAGUUUAGGAUCAAUCACUUCCAUAAUUGCGUUACUUUGAAACCCAUAACUUAUCCAUGAUAUUAGAUUUUGAUCUCCUUCGAAGCGCUCGUCCAUUGGGCUUUUUCCACUCAAGAGCUCUAACAACAUCACUCCAAAGCUAUAUACAUCUCCUGCUUGUGAUGGCUUUUCUCCAAGCCCAUACUCUGCAUAUAUAACAAUCCCAAAUCAGCGUGAGAAUAUAAAAUAUGUUACCAAGGUAGUAAAAAAACUAUAUUGAAUAGUAAUAACAAGUUUAGCAUAUGUAGACUGUUUAUAAGAUUUAAAGGUGAGCAACUAACCUGGAGGAAUAUAACCAAUGGAGCCUUUCAAGACAUGUGUGGAGCUUAUAGAAGCGUGAUGACAAUCAUCGGAUGCGUCAAACAACACACGAGCCAACCCAAAAUCGCCGACCUUUGUAACCAUGUCUUCGGUUAGAAGAAUAUUGCUAGGUUUUAGAUCACAAUGAACCACAUGAACUUCACAAUCAUUGUGCAAAUAAUCCAAUGCAGAUGCAAUGUCAAUGGCUACAUUCACUCUUUCUUCAAGAUUUAACCCAACACUCCCAUCAGGUUUUCUAUGUUUACCUUUGAUCCAUUCUUCUAAGCUUCCAUUGCUUAAAAAUUCAUACACCAAAGCCAAAAACUCAUUGUUUUUGAAGUCUAUGCUUGAACAAGAAGUUACUAGUUUCACAAGAUUCCUGUGCCUUACAUUCCUUAAAGCCUCACACUCUGCUAUAAAGCCUUUGUAGUAUCCGUUUGCCUUGAGAUCAAUGACUUUCACCGCAACAUCAACCCCUCGUAUCACCCCUUUGAAUACCGAUCCAAAGCUUCCAACACCAAGAAUAUUUCUAGGGUUGAAAUUUUCAGUAGCUCUCCUGAGCUCAUCAUAUGAAACAUUCAUAAAUGGUUCCUUGAGGAGUGAAUUUGAUGAUGAGGUAGAUGUGGUAGACCUCUUUUCCAUUCUUUUCCAAAUCAAGAAACUUAUCACACAUAUUGCAAUCAGACCAACCGCACAUGUAAUAACGCUAACUUUCAAAAGUUUUCUGUGCGUCCGAGUUUUUCGACAAGUGUGAAUGCAGAGCUUUGGAUUCCCCUCCAUAUAAGCUUUAGAAUGAUCUUUGAAAACUCCACGGUUUGGGACCCAUCCUUCAAGAUUGUUGAAUGAAAUAUUCAAGAACUUCAUUGCUUGUAAAUCUUGAAGUCUUGGAGGAAUAACACCGGAAAGCUGGUUUGAAGAGAGAUCAAGAAACUCUAGACCUUUUACUUCUGCUAAUGCAUCCGGGAUUGGUCCGUCUAGAUUAUUGCCCGCCAUGUUUAGCUUCUCCAAGCUUUGACAAUCUUUGAUAGAUGAAGGGAUGUGGCCUGAGAAGUUGUUACUAGAGAGAUCUAGACUCACAAGGCUUUCGAGGCGACUUAUAUCUUGAGGAAUUGGACCAGAAAAUAGGUUGCUAGAUAGAUUCAAGACGGCACUCAAGCUAGGUAGGUUAAGAACUCCAUUUGGUAUGCUUCCAUUUAGCAUAUUGCUGGAUAGAUCCAUGGAUAACAUAUUCUUGAAGUUUUCAAAUG